UACAGGCAAAUCAAGAAGAAUCUGUGAAAAGGGUAAAAGAGUUCCAAAGUACUUUUCACAUAAGUCAUCACAACUGAGGUCCAUUCACUACUAUACUGCUGAAGUACAAGAGGAGGCUUUGAUAUUAGAUCAUUUAAAUACUGGCAUUUUCAUUUACUAAAUUAAGAAAACUGAAGAAAAAUCAGAAGAAGAGAGAUGAAGAAACAGUGGCACAGAGCUCGUGUGACAACCAGGAUCACAAAGCUGAGGACCGGUGGAGGCAAGAGUGGAAGCUAGCAGAGCAGCUCCAGGACUCUCCUGGUGCUGCUCAACCACGUUCCAGACGACUCUGCUCUGUGGCAGCAUAAUGCCCCUGGGACCUGGGACCAAACAAGCUUUACCACCUUAUCUCCACUCCUUCCAACACAGGACCUCUACACCACAAUUUGGACCAAGCUCUCACUGACCCACAAAAACAAUGUGAACGCCAACCUCAAGGCUUCACUUGUGCUGUUCACAUAGUGGAAUGCUCUCCCUCCUUCUCCUUUUCAACAUCCGUUAAGGCUGAUGGCAAUUACACAGCUUUCCAAACUGUUCCUUCUGCCAACCUUUCCACCUCGUUGGAAUCUGUUUCCUGAGACCUGUGCACCUGAUAUUUAACUGGUUUAGUAUUAGUAUUCAUGCUUUGUGUUUAUGUACUCUAUCAGGUAAGAUGGUACAUGACCUUGAAGGAAGGCCCAGCACAGGUCUGUGAACCUAGCUCAGUAAAUGUUGAUUGAAUUUAUAAUAACCUCUCUAGCAACAUGGUAAGUAAAAUUAAUGCAGCUCACUGUCAUAAAGUAACACUCUAGGAAAUCAUCCCAAGACGUUGUGGGUAAAAUUAAAGGUACAUAUUAACUUCCAGGGUAUUUUUCGACCUAACAGACAAUUUUUCCAGCUAAUCACGUCAACUAAGUAGGCAUUUCUGUGUUUGGAUACAGAGUCAGUCUAUGCAUAUGUGUGUGCAUAAACAGCCAGGGACAGACAUUUAAGCAAUGUUCAAAUACAGCAUUAAAAACAUAAUGACGGA
Molecule: long non-coding RNA, 1048 nt
Organism: Suricata suricatta (meerkat)
Lineage: Eukaryota; Metazoa; Chordata; Mammalia; Carnivora; Herpestidae
Exons: 2
Source: RefSeq, a predicted model, not a curated record